AGGUCCUACGGGAGGCAGCAGUCGAGAAUCAUUCACAAUGGGGGAAACCCUGAUGGUGCGACGCCGCGUGGGGGAAUGAAGGUCUUCGGAUUGUAAACCCCUGUCAUGUGGGAGCAAAUUAAAAAGACAGUACCACAAGAGGAAGAGACGGCUAACUCUGUGCCAGCAGCCGCGGUAAUACAGAGGUCUCAAGCGUUGUUCGGAAUCACUGGGCGUAAAGCGUGCGUAGGCUGUUUAGUAAGUCGUGUGUGAAAGGCGUGGGCUUAACCGGCGGACGGGACAUGAUACUGAGAGA
This 295-nucleotide ribosomal RNA is filed under the name uncultured bacterium. RNAcentral describes it as "partial 16S ribosomal RNA". It matches the Rfam family "Bacterial small subunit ribosomal RNA", at positions 334 to 640 of the family's 1533-position model. The record is from RNAcentral.